This 273-nucleotide ribosomal RNA is filed under the name uncultured bacterium. Its description in RNAcentral is "partial 16S ribosomal RNA". It matches the Rfam family "Bacterial small subunit ribosomal RNA", at positions 524 to 796 of the family's 1533-position model. The record is from RNAcentral.
UACGGAGGGUGCAAGCGUUAUCCGGAUUCACUGGGUUUAAAGGGUGCGUAGGAGGGCAGGUAAGUCAGUGGUGAAAUCCCCGUGCUUAACAUGGGAACUGCCGUUGAUACUAUCUGUCUUGAAUGCCGUGGAGAUGAGCGGAAUAUGUCAUGUAGCGGUGAAAUGCUUAGAUAUGACAUAGAACACCGAUUGCGAAGGCAGCUCGUUACACGAACAUUGACUCUGAGGCACGAAAGCGUGGGGAUCAAACAGGAUUAGAAACCCCUGUAGUCC